GAUGAAGAACGCCGCGAAAUGCGAUAAGUAAUGUGAAUUGCAGAAUUCAGUGAAUCAUCGAAUCUUUGAACGCACAUUGCGCCCGCCAGCACUCUGGCGGGCAUGCCUGUUCGAGCGUCAUUUCAACCAUCAAGCCCCCAGGGGCUUGUGCUGGGGCCCUGCGGCUGCCCGCAGGCCCUGAAAACCAGUGGCGGGCUCGCUAGUCACACCGAGCGCAGUAGCACAUCUCGCUCAGGGCGUGCGGCGGGCUCCUGCCGUGAAACCCCCCACUGUAACCCCAAAGGUUGACCUCGGAUCAGGUAGGAAUACCCGCUGAACUUAAGCAUAUCAAUAAGCGGAGGA
RNAcentral lists this unclassified non-coding RNA (342 nucleotides) under soil metagenome. Its description in RNAcentral is "partial contains 5.8S ribosomal RNA, internal transcribed spacer 2, and large subunit ribosomal RNA". The stretch from base 1 to 120 matches the Rfam family "5.8S ribosomal RNA", at positions 35 to 154 of the family's 154-position model. The record is from RNAcentral.